Molecule: non-coding RNA, 285 nt
Organism: Tauraco erythrolophus (red-crested turaco)
Lineage: Eukaryota; Metazoa; Chordata; Aves; Musophagiformes; Musophagidae
Source: the annotation of a RefSeq genome assembly
GGGUCGUUUCUCCUCGUCUGCACCGGCUCCGGCUUCACCUUCAGCAGCUUCGGCAUGGGAUGGAUGCGACAGGCGUCCGGGAAGGGCCUGGAGUGGGUCGCGGGUACUACUGGUGGUGGUGGUAGCACAUUCUACGCGCCGGCGGUCAAGGGCCGCUUCACCAUCUCCAGGGACAACUCCCAGAGCACGGUCACGCUGCAGAUGAGCAGCCUCACGGCCGACGACACGGCCACCUACUACUGCGCCAAAAGUUCUUUUGGUUAUGGUGGUGGUCCCAAACCUUGA